UGAGUAAGUCAGACGGUUGCAUGUGCAGUGUCGAAAGACCGUACAUGAGGAAAGUCCGGGCUCCAUAGGGCAGGGUGCCGGGUAACUCCCGGUGAAGGUGACUUUAAGGAAAGUGCAACAGAGAUAUACCGCCUUUUUGGAGGUUGGAAGUUGGAGGUUAGAAGUUGGAAGAUGCGUUUUUUCUAACGUCCAACCUCUAACUUCCAACUUUCAGGAGGGUAAGGGUGGAAAGGUGAGGUAAGAGCUCACCAGCGGCAUGGCGACUUGCCGGCUAUGUAAACCCCAUCUGGAGCAACACCGUAUAGUGGGACAUUAUGGUUGCCCGCCAGUCCCGGGUAGGUGGCUUGAGCUUUGCAGAAAUGCAAGGCCUAGAUAGAUGACUGUCAGAUACAGAACCCGGCUUAUAGAUUUGCUCAAAAA
This 420-nucleotide RNase P RNA is filed under the name Herbivorax alkaliphila. Its description in RNAcentral is "RNase P RNA component class A". It matches the Rfam family "Bacterial RNase P class A". From Rfam's summary of the family: Ribonuclease P (RNase P) is a ubiquitous endoribonuclease, found in archaea, bacteria and eukarya as well as chloroplasts and mitochondria. Its best characterised activity is the generation of mature 5'-ends of tRNAs by cleaving the 5'-leader elements of precursor-tRNAs. The record is from RNAcentral. Lineage: Bacteria; Bacillati; Bacillota; Clostridia; Acetivibrionales; Acetivibrionaceae.